GAUGAACGCUGGCGGCAUGCCUUACACAUGCAAGUCGAACGGCAGCACGGGUGCUUGCACCUGGUGGCGAGUGGCGAACGGGUGAGUAAUACAUCGGAACGUACCUUAUCGUGGGGGAUAACGCAGCGAAAGCUGUGCUAAUACCGCAUACGCCCUGAGGGGGAAAGCGGGGGAUCGCAAGACCUCGCGCGAUUAGAGCGGCCGAUGCCUGAUUAGCUUGUUGGUGGGGUAAAAGCCCACCAAGGCGACGAUCAGUAGCUGGUCUGCGAGGACGAUCAGCCAGACUGGGACUGAGACGCGGCCCAGACUCCUACGGGAGGCAGCAGUGGGGAAUUUUGGACAAUGGGGGCAACCCUGAUCCAGCAAUGCCGCGUGAGUGAAGAAGGCCUUCGGGUUGUAAAGCUCUUUUGUCAGGGAAGAAACACCGGCUCUAACACAGUCCGGGAAUGACGGUACCUGAAGAAUAAACACCGGCUAACUACGUGCCAGCCGCCGCAGUAA
Molecule: ribosomal RNA, 501 nt
Filed under: uncultured bacterium
Lineage: Bacteria
Description: partial 16S ribosomal RNA
Rfam family: Bacterial small subunit ribosomal RNA
Source: RNAcentral